Molecule: long non-coding RNA, 2578 nt
Filed under: Mus caroli (Ryukyu mouse)
Lineage: Eukaryota; Metazoa; Chordata; Mammalia; Rodentia; Muridae
Description: lncRNA (MGP_CAROLIEiJ_G0005352.1)
Source: RNAcentral
UGUCUGCCCAGACUUACCUCAGGGAUGGAGACCUGAGAGUUCUAAGCUGAAGGGAAACUGAGACUGAGAGAUGUCUGCUGCAAACACGUCCCCACCCACUAUGACCUGAGUGUGCCCCCAGGGCUCACUCUCCCCUGGCCUGCAGUGCUUUUUCUCUGGGUUUGCUGGAGAAUAGAGAUGGGAAAAGCUACAGUCUCUGAACCCAACUGAAACAGGCUGCCCUGCACUCUGGACAGACCGAUCCCUGGCAGUGGCAGGUGUGCGGAUCUGCAAGUGUGUGCAUGUACCUGAGCGUCCCACGGAGUGUGGGCUUGAGAGAAGGCACCCACCUUCUGUCAGCUAUCAGCUGACUUCACUUAAACAGCAAGGGAACAGAAGAGAGGAGAGGAAUGCUGGCUGGGACAUUCACAGACACCUUCCGAUCUGAGCUUCCAGGAUGCUUGGCCUCCAGUUCUAGGAAAGAUGGAGUCUGGGCACCAGUCAAGCAACCAUAGAGACACAAACCCAAGGCAGUCAGAGUCACAAUGACUGGGAGGGAAAUGGCUUCAAGGCCUGCCUGAGCCAGGAGCCACUGGCCCAAGAGGCUUCUUUAGGCCACAACUGAAACACAGGAAAAGAAGAGGCCCUGGCCUCCUGGGAGCUAGCUGGACUGCUGUGAGUUCAAGGGAAGAGCAGGAGAGAAGAGAUGAAGACAACUGUCUGCCAGAGUCUGGGGACAAGAGGGGGGGAUGUCACUCUGGCUGGGGCCACAGAGCCUGUGGAAAGCUGACACACCCCUCCCAGUUUCAGCUCUGCUCUUUAGAAUGUCAGAGGGGAAGUGUAAUUAAGGCCACGCAGCUGUGAAGGAUUAGUAUUCCAACCUGGAAAGCCUGAGUUUUAAUUAGUAAUUAGGCCUUUUCUGCAGAGCCUGCAAACAAGCAGAGGUUUGGUGACCUUUCUCCUGAAGGCGCAGUGACAGCCUGGCUGACACGCUGAUACACCUAGGGGCUUUUUCAGAGAGGCCUGGACGAGGCAUAAAAGCACCCUUACUCGUCACGGUGGGGCCGCCAGUGAGGGGCUCCUGCAGAUCCCUGCUCCCUACCUGGCUUCCCAGAGCUCACUGCCAGCACCCCCAAAAUCCAUCUGGGCCCUGGAAAUGACAGGUCUGGUGGCUUCUCCAGCAUGAGCCCAAGGUCACCACAUUUCCAUCAGGAGUCCCUGCAGAUGGGAAUCAGGAUGGGUCUGUGUCCAGAAGGCAGGUGAGCAGGACCUCAAGGAACAUGAGUCCUUCAGCUGGGCACCUAGAAUCACAUGGUCCUUCUGCUCCGUCUUGGCUAUCUAUCACCAUGUACAAAAAAAUCACCAGGCUUUUUCUGGCAGGCCUGACUCCCAACCUGUUCCCAAGAUGUUAGGAGAGGCCAUGAACCACAUGGGGUCUGUUGGCCAAGUCAUGACCAGGACCCAGGGCUACAGGUCCCACCUACUCUGCCCCAAGACAGGCCUCUGAACCCUCCUGUAGCUGCCUAGCCCCUGUUUGACCACAUUGCCCAGCCAGCAUCAUAGGGGACACACUUGCACCUAGGGUGUACUGGCCCACAUGGGCACAGAUGCCUUCACACCAUCCCAGGAAAGCACAAGCCCUGGGACACCGCUCAGGUCUAACCUAUGCCUCUCAGGGGACUCAGCCAAGGGUCUCAUUAGCUCUUGUCCACUUUGUGGGGUUCUAUAGCUAUGUCACAGGACAUGGACACUUAUGGUGCUUCCAAGUGUCUGUAUGCACCUCUCAGAGAGAGGACAGACCUGUUUAAAUUCAACAUCACGGUCACAUUAAGGUUGUUUGGGGACCUCUGUGUUUGUAUGUGUCCCACUCAUAAGGCCAGUGGGGCAGGUGACUCUGAGGCAUUGCCCCUGGUGGGUUAUUGGUCAGCACAGCCUGGGCAGUUACACACCUGGUUGGAUGCAGGUCGUAAUAUCAUAGACAACACAAUACAGGUCUAUUCCUGUAGCUCAUCCUUGCUGCUCAUUCCCAGCAAAGAGCCCUUCCCUGAGACCCAUCAGGCUAGGCCCUGGGGGGACAGUAGGAGGGAGGAGCCCCCCUUCACCAGAAUAAUGCAGUCUGCAGACUUCAUAGUAACUCAGAAGUGAGCUCUCCCUUCCAGCACCAUAUAAACUUUAAUUGGGCUUUUUAAAGGUCACGAAAACAAAUACUUUCUCAUAAAGAAACCAUUUGGGCACGCUCAAAAACGCACAGGUAACUGUCAGUGUGAGUUGAUGGUUCAUGCCAGGGAACAGACGUCUCUUGCACACAGGCAUAUCCGUACCUGGUGUACCCCACCUCUGGGCAUGGGGCUACUGUAACCAGCCAUGAGACUAAGGCUGGCACUGUGGGGUAGGCUGAGGUAGGAAGAAUGCCUUGGGGCUGGAGCUUCACACAGCCCUUCACGUCUUCGACCCUCACCUUCCUCUGUGUCACAGACUUGUUGGCCUUUCAGCAUCUGAGACGCAUAUAUUCUCAGAUGGGGAAACUGAGGCCCAGUGGGGUUAAGUCAUUCAGAAAGUGACUAUACCCAGUCCAGUCUCUGUAACUCCCAAGUGCGAC